GAAGGUGGCCUGUGAGGGUUGCUGGAGGUAUCAGAAGUGCGAAUGCUGACAUAAGUAACGAUAAAGCGGGUGAAAAGCCCGCUCGCCGGAAGACCAAGGGUUCCUGUCCAACGUUAAUCGGGGCAGGGUGAGUCGACCCCUAAGGCGAGGCCGAAAGGCGUAGUCGAUGGGAAACGGGUUAAUAUUCCCGUACUUGGUGUUACUGCGAAGGGGGGACGGAGAAGGCUAUGUUGGCCGGGCGACGGUUGUCCCGGUUUAAGCGUGUAGGYGUGUKUUCCAGGYAAAUCCGGUUCACUUUAACACUGAGGCGUGAYGACGAGGCACUACGGUGCUGAAGCAACAAAUGCCCUGCUUCCAGGAAAAGCCUCUAAGCAUCAGGUAACAUCAAAUCGUACCCCAAACCGACACAGGUGGUCAGGUAGAGAAUACCAAGGCGCUUGAGAGAACUCGGGUGAAGGAACUAGGCAAAAUGGUGCCGUAACUUCGGGAGAAGGCACGCUGACAYGUAGGUGAAGUGAUUUACUCAYGGAGCUGAAGUCAGUCGAAGAUACCAGCUGGCUGCAACUGUUUAUUAAAAACACAGCACUGUGCAAACACGAAAGUGGACGUAUACGGUGUGACGCCUGCCCGGUGCCGGAAGGUUAAUUGAUGGGGUCAGCGCAAGCGAAGCUCCUGAUCGAAGCCCCGGUAAACGGCGGCCGUAACUAUAACGGUCCUAAGGUAGCGAAAUUCCUUGUCGGGUAAGUUCCGACCUGCACGAAUGGCGUAAUGAUGGCCAGGCUGUCUCCACCCGAGACUCAGUGAAAUUGAACUCGCUGUGAAGAUGCAGUGUACCCGCGGCAAGACGGAAAGACCCCGUGAACCUUUACUAUAGCUUGACACUGAACAUUGAGCCUUGAUGUGUAGGAUAGGUGGGAGGCUUUGAAGUGUGGACGCCAGUCUGCAUGGAGCCGACCUUGAAAUACCACCCUUUAAUGUUUGAUGUUCUAACGUGGACCCGUWAYCCGGGUUGCGGACAGUGUCUGGUGGGUAGUUUGACUGGGGCGGUCUCCUCCUAAAGAGUAACGGAGGAGCACGAAGGUUGGCUAAUCCUGGUCGGACAUCAGGAGGUUAGUGCAAUGGCAUAAGCCAGCUUGACUGCGAGCGUGACGGCGCGAGCAGGUGCGAAAGCAGGUCAUAGUGAUCCGGUGGUUCUGAAUGGAAGGGCCAUCGCUCAACGGAUAAAAGGUACUCCGGGGAUAACAGGCUGAUACCGCCCAAGAGUUCAUAUCGACGGCGGUGUUUGGCACCUCGAUGUCGGCUCAUCACAUCCUGGGGCUGAAGUAGGUCCCAAGGGUAUGGCUGUUCGCCAUUUAAAGUGGUACGCGAGCUGGGUUUAGAACGUCGUGAGACAGUUCGGUCCCUAUCUGCCGUGGGCGCUGGAGAACUGAGGGGGGCUGCUCCUAGUACGAGAGGACCGGAGUGGACGCAUCACUGGUGUUCGGGUUGUCAUGCCAAUGGCACUGCCCGGUAGCUAAAUGCGGAAGAGAUAAGUGCUGAAAGCAUCUAAGCACGAAACUUGCCCCGAGAUGAGUUCUCCCUGAGACUU
Molecule: ribosomal RNA, 1588 nt
Filed under: Salmonella enterica
Lineage: Bacteria; Pseudomonadati; Pseudomonadota; Gammaproteobacteria; Enterobacterales; Enterobacteriaceae
Description: partial 23S ribosomal RNA
Source: RNAcentral